UUGUCUUUGUUUUAUAAGCCUAACGCCAAGAUCCUUUUCCAUUCAUUUUUCAUCAAUUUUUUCAAGGGAAAUUUGAGAAGAUGUUAAGAGACGAAGAAGAAGAAUGUAGGAGAGAUUAGGGCUCGGCAAGACACAAAAUUGAAAGGAAAAGCUUCAUCUAUGACAGAUUUUGGAACACACAGCACAUCUCUGGUUUUCUAUUGCUUACGAGCUGCACAAACAGAGUUUGAAGCUGAGACUUAUCAGGUAGAGAUCGAGCUCCCGAUGCCUAACACGCUCCCAUUAGUCUACUAGAAGCUUCACACUCCAUUUCAGUAUGUGUGUGUGGUGUUGUACAUUGUCUUGGUACAUUUUGUGUAUGUAAGUUGAUAAAAGUUUGUUUGUGGCAGUAUGUGUUAGUGUUCUUUGUUGUUAUAAUUUUAGAUUGUAAUGUCUAAUGAAGACUAGUUAAACCUUUAGCGAACAGGUUAGGUUGCGUUACAACAUGGUACAAAUUAUGUACUAGUUUCUGCUACGAUGUGUGUGCAUGUUAUUUGUUAAUUUCAUAUUAAAGUAUCAGUUUCCGGUUCAGUUCAAGAGGCAUCGUUAGAGAAGAACGAUGUUUGUUAACUUCACGUGCUAAGAGCAUGUGAUCCUUAAAGGGUGUGAUAUAUUGUCAUAAAUUCCAUAAAAACCCCAAAGAACAUUUAAUUGCUUUC
This is a long non-coding RNA of Cucumis melo (muskmelon), 698 nucleotides long. RefSeq lists it as uncharacterized. NCBI's taxonomy places the organism in Eukaryota, Viridiplantae, Streptophyta, Magnoliopsida, Cucurbitales, Cucurbitaceae. The transcript is spliced from 2 exons. The record is from RefSeq and is a predicted model, not a curated record.